GCGGUAGUUUCUCACCUUAAUUGCAUGUUUAAAUAAUUUUUUUUUUUUUUUAAAUACAUACAUGUCGUUUAUGCAAAUUUGGUUUAUGUAUCGGUACUAACAUGAUCAAUGUAUAAUAAUAGUGAAAUAUGUCACACAAGUUAUGGUGGUCAGUUGUGACGCAGGUUGUCUAAGGAGGGACGUACAGGCCAAGGGCGGAAACGCAGGCAGGCAAAAAGUCCCGUGUCGAUCAGUAGUGGGAUCGCGCCUGUGAAUCGGUAUCUGUCAGCAAUAAAAUAUAUUUGGACUC
RNAcentral lists this small RNA (289 nucleotides) under Mytilus galloprovincialis (Mediterranean mussel). The record is from RNAcentral. Lineage: Eukaryota; Metazoa; Mollusca; Bivalvia; Mytilida; Mytilidae.